RNAcentral lists this unclassified non-coding RNA (254 nucleotides) under uncultured Alphaproteobacteria bacterium. RNAcentral describes it as "contains 16S-23S intergenic spacer region". It matches the Rfam family "Bacterial small subunit ribosomal RNA", at positions 524 to 776 of the family's 1533-position model. Lineage: Bacteria; Pseudomonadati; Pseudomonadota; Alphaproteobacteria. The record is from RNAcentral.
UACGGAGGGGGAUAGCGUUGUUCGGAAUCACUGGGCGUAAAGCGCACGUAGGCGGUGUAUCAAGUCAGAGGUGAAAGGCCAGGGCUCAACCUGGGAACUGCCUUUGAGACUGGUACGCUUGAGUCCGGGAGAGGGUAGUGGAAUUCCCAGUGUAGAGGUGAAAUUCGUAGAUAUUGGGAAGAACACCGGUGGCGAAGGCGGCUACCUGGCCCAGUUAUUGACGCUGAGGUGCGAAAGUGUGGGGAGCGAACAUG